UUAAAAUUUUGUUCCUGGUUCCAGGAUGAACCGCUGGGGGCCAUUCCUUAAUCCAUGCAAGUGGAACGAGAAUUCAUAGAGGGUGCUUGCCCCAUUUUGAUUCUAGUGGGCGAAACGGGUGAGUAACACGUGAGAAAUUGCCCUUUAGAUGGGGAUAAUUACUGAAACGGUUUGUAAUUCCGGAUGUCUUCUUUGUACCGCAUGGUAUUUAGAGAAAAGCUUAGAUGCACUAAAGGAUGAUCUCGCGGCGUAUUAGCUAGUUGGUGAGAUAGUGGCUCACCAAGGCAAUGAUACGUAGCCGGCCUGAGAGGGUGACCGGCCACACUGGGACUGAGACACGGCCCAGACUCCUACGGGAGGCAGCAGUAGGGAAUCAUCGGCAAUGGGGGAAACCCUGACCGUGCAAUGCCGCGUGAGUGAUGAAGGCCUUCGGGUUGUAAAACUCUGUUGUGAAGGAAGAACAACCUAGAUAGAAUCUAGGUCUGACGGUACUUCACCAGAAAGCCAUGGCUAACUACGUGCCAGCAGCCGCGGUAAUACGUAGAUGGCAAGCGUUAUCCGGAUUUAUUGGGCGUAAAGGGUGCUCAGCUGGUUUAUUAAGUUUGUAGUUAAAAUUCGAAGCUCAACUUCGAAGUGCUGCGAAAACUGGUAAACUUGAGUACAGGAGAGGGUAGUGGAAUUCCAUGUGAAGCGGUAAAAUGCGUAGAUAUAUGGAGGAACACCAGUGGCGAAGGCGGCUACCUGGCCUGUAACUGACGGUCAAGCACGAAAGCGUGGGGAGCAAAUAGGAUUAGAUACCCUAGUAGUCCACGCCGUAAACGAUGAGUGCUAAGUGUUGGAGGGUUUCCGCCCUUCAGUGCUGGAGUUAACG
RNAcentral lists this ribosomal RNA (871 nucleotides) under uncultured bacterium. Its description in RNAcentral is "bacterial SSU rRNA". It matches the Rfam family "Bacterial small subunit ribosomal RNA", at positions 1 to 857 of the family's 1533-position model. The record is from RNAcentral.